UUGGGGGUAGAGGUGGGCAGGA
RNAcentral lists this microRNA (22 nucleotides) under Bos taurus (domestic cattle). RNAcentral's name for it is "bta-miR-2285ah-5p". The record is from miRBase by way of RNAcentral. Lineage: Eukaryota; Metazoa; Chordata; Mammalia; Artiodactyla; Bovidae.